RNAcentral lists this ribosomal RNA (793 nucleotides) under Methanosaeta sp. enrichment culture clone A14134. Its description in RNAcentral is "bacterial SSU rRNA". It matches the Rfam family "Archaeal small subunit ribosomal RNA", at positions 85 to 879 of the family's 1478-position model. The record is from RNAcentral. Lineage: Archaea; Methanobacteriati; Methanobacteriota; Methanomicrobia; Methanotrichales; Methanotrichaceae.
ACUGCUCAGUAACACGUGGACAACCUGCCCUUAGGUUGGGUAUAAACCCGGGAAACUGGGUAUAAUACCCGGUAGGUCUCGAUUGCUGGAAUGCAUCGAGAUUUAAAGCUCCGGCGCCUAAGGAUGGGUCUGCGGCCUAUCAGGUAGUAGUGGGUGUAGCGUACCUACUAGCCUACGACGGGUACGGGUUGUGAGAGCAAGAGCCCGGAGAUGGAUUCUGAGACACGAAUCCAGGCCCUACGGGGUGCAGCAGGCGCGAAAACUUUACAAUGCUGGCAACAGCGAUAAGGGAACCUCGAGUGCCAGGUUACAAAUCUGGCUGUCGAGAUGCCUAAAAAGCAUUUCAUAGCAAGGGCCGGGCAAGACCGGUGCCAGCCGCCGCGGUAACACCGGCGGCUCGAGUGGUAACCGUUAUUAUUGGGUCUAAAGGGUCUGUAGCCGGCCGGAUAAGUCUCUUGAGAAAUCUGGCAGCUUAACUGUCAGGCUUUCAGGAGAUACUGUCUGGCUCGAGGCCGGGAGAGGUGAGAGGUACUUCAGGGGUAGGGGUGAAAUCUUGUAAUCCUUGAAGGACCACCAGUGGCGAAGGCGUCUCACCAGAACGGACCUGACGGCAAGGGACGAAAGCUAGGGGCACGAACCGGAUUAGAUACCCGGGUAGUCCUAGCCGUAAACGAUACUCGCUAGGUGUCGGCCACGGUGCGACCGUUGUCGGUGCCGUAGGGAAGCCGUGAAGCGAGCCACCUGGGAAGUACGGCCGCAAGGCUGAAACUUAAAGGAAUUGGCGGGGGAGCAC